AGAGUUUGAUCCUGGCUCAGAAUGAACGCUGGCGGCGUGCCUAACACAUGCAAGUCGGAUGUGCCGCAAGGUGCAUGGCAGACGGGUGAAUAACGCGUGGGGAAUCUACCUCUUUGUGGGGAAUAACGCUCCGAAAGGAGUGGUAAUACCGCAUGAGACCAAUGGCUGGAAUGUUGUUGGUGAAACCUGGGGACCGCAAGGCCUCAUGCUCCUGGAGCGGCCGAUAUCUGAUUAGCUAGUUGGUGAGGUAAUGGCUCACCAAGGCGACGAUCAAUAGCCGACCUGAGAGGGUGAUCGGCCACACUGGGACUGAGACACGGCCCAGACUCCUACGGGAGGCAGCAGUGGGGAAUAUUGCACAAUGGGCGCAAGCCUGAUGCAGCAACGCCGCGUGAACGAAGAAGGCCUUCGGGUCGUAAAGUUCUUUUCUCGAGGAAGAAGAAAUGACGGUACUCGAGGAAUAAGCACCGGCUAACUACGUGCCAGCAGCCGCGGUAAUACGUAGGGUGCAAGCGUUAAUCGGAAUUACUGGGCGUAAAGGGCGCGUAGGCGGUUUUGUCGGUCAGAUGUGAAAGCCCAGGGCUCAACCCUGGACGUGCAUUUGAAACAGCAAGACUUGAGUACGGGAGAGGAAAGCGGAAUUCCUGGUGUAGAGGUGAAAUUCGUAGAUAUCAGGAGGAACACCGAUGGCGAAGGCAGCUUUCUGGACCGAUACUGACGCUGAGGCGCGAAGGCGUGGGUAGCGAACAGGAUUAGAUACCCUGGUAGUCC
Molecule: ribosomal RNA, 771 nt
Filed under: uncultured bacterium
Lineage: Bacteria
Description: bacterial SSU rRNA
Rfam family: Bacterial small subunit ribosomal RNA
Source: RNAcentral